UACGAAGGGGGCUAGCGUUGCUCGGAAUCACGGGGCGUAAAGGGUGCGUAGGCGGGUCUUUAAGUCAGGGGUGAAAUCCUGGAGCUCAACUCCAGAACUGCCUUUGAUACUGAAGAUCUUGAGUUCGGGAGAGGUGAGUGGAACUGCGAGUGUAGAGGUGAAAUUCGUAGAUAUUCGCAAGAACACCAGUGGCGAAGGCGGCUCACUGGCCCGAAACUGACGCUGAGGCACGAAAGCGUGGGGAGCAAACAGG
RNAcentral lists this ribosomal RNA (253 nucleotides) under uncultured bacterium. Its description in RNAcentral is "partial 16S ribosomal RNA". It matches the Rfam family "Bacterial small subunit ribosomal RNA", at positions 524 to 776 of the family's 1533-position model. The record is from RNAcentral.